RNAcentral lists this unclassified non-coding RNA (200 nucleotides) under uncultured Ascomycota. Its description in RNAcentral is "sequence contains ITS2". Lineage: Eukaryota; Fungi; Ascomycota. The record is from RNAcentral.
UUAAGUUCAGGGGGUAUCCUUACCUGAUCUGAGGUCAAACUACAAAAGUUUGAUUAUGACAAAGUCUAUCAGAGUAACUAAGCUAAUGGUAUUUCUACUAUGCUUGCUGCUACUGAAAACUUGCCAAUCAGUUUAAGAAGGGAACUGCUAGGCAGAUCCUCUUCCAAUACCAAGCAGAUGCUUGAGAUUAUACUGACGCU